UUCCUUUUCCAGGCUCCUGUGGGCCUUCAA
This 30-nucleotide non-coding RNA is filed under the name Mus musculus (house mouse). RNAcentral also lists the same sequence under 1 other name. Lineage: Eukaryota; Metazoa; Chordata; Mammalia; Rodentia; Muridae. The record is from RNAcentral.